AUGUUAAGCCUUAUUGCACCCAAAAGUGGAAAUUUUGGGGCCAAAUAUUUCUGCUUGAAUUUUGUGCCUGUAAACUCCUUCUACUUUCUGUCUGUUAUUACUAUAGCAUCUCCUCUCUUGUUACUGAAUGAGGAUUACCAUUUUAGCAGACCCCAAGCACCCGAGAUGGCAACUACAUUCACGGCACCAAUUCUGUGCAACUUGAGAGCGAACCCACGCCUGAACCACAGCACCAGACAACAACAGGCGGACUUGCACCUGAGCUCGGCGAGAAUGGCGCCCACGCUGACAGGCUCAAGAGCACGGAGCGACUUGCGCGCGGCGGCGGUGUACAAGGUGAAGCUGAUCGGGCCGGAGGGGAAGGAGAGCGUGAUCGAGGUGGCGGAGGACAGCUACAUCCUGGACGCGGCGGAGGAGGCCGGCGUGGAGCUGCCCUACUCGUGCCGCGCCGGCGCGUGCUCCACCUGCGCCGGCAAGGUCCUGGAGGGCGGCGUGGACCAGUCGGACCAGUCCUUCCUGGACGACGCGCAGGUCGGCGCCGGCUACGCGCUCACCUGCGUCGCCUACCCCACCUCCGACCUCAUCAUCCAGACGCACAAGGAGUCCGACCUCUACUAG
This 618-nucleotide ribosomal RNA is filed under the name Triticum aestivum (bread wheat). RNAcentral's name for it is "partial small subunit ribosomal RNA". The record is from RNAcentral. Lineage: Eukaryota; Viridiplantae; Streptophyta; Magnoliopsida; Poales; Poaceae.